ACAUUUAGACCUAGAUCUAUAUAAUAGGGGAUGCACUACACUAUCAGGAGGACCUAAUUCGCCUCCCUCCUCAUUUAGAUUUUCCUCAUCCUCUUUCCCUCAAAAUCAAAGAGAUAUGGAAAAGACACAAAACUCCAUAAGAGCCAUGUGAAAAAUCGCCCAAAGCUGCUCCAUUUUAGCUGCAAAAUGUUGUUCCUAAAACCAGCCCAAUAAACAUGACGAAAUCAAGCUAAAAUCGAGCCGAAAUAGUAGCCAAAAUUGCUACCAGUUCCACUGCGAACAAUCCCGGAAUCCCAAUCAAAAUAGUCCUAAAAUUCAGCCUUUAACCACCUAAAAACCUUCCAAAACACCACCUCAAAUCACCCCCAAAUCAGAUCUGUUUUGGCUCAGAAAACGCCAUCUAUACAGCCCAGAGACGAGCUUGAAUCCCCCAAAAACAGCCUUAUAAUAGCCCCAAAAACGAGUUGAGAAAACUGUCUAAAACCAACCUCAAAGAGCCCAACAUAUACUGCAAAAACUGAGCUAAAAGCUCAUUAAAAUAGUCCCCCUUCGCACCAAAUUAGUAGCUCUAAAGUCGAGUUCGAAAGCUCCGGUCCGAGGUUUUGUUGUUAUCCAUUUUCUCCAGUCGAGCAUUGGAUUCAACUGUGCUGUUUAGUUUCGUAUCAAUACACAUAUUUCAAACGCUUCACACAGAGUCUCCUUCACCCUUUAAUUAAUUCUUUCAUUUUUGCUCCUGUUAUUGUUAGCAUACUUUGUUUGUUAUCUUAAUUGGCUAAUUCAGAUUAUAGAUAUUUGUUAAGUUAUCUGCAGUGUGUGUCCAUUUCGUUUGCAUUGGUAUCUCUAUUUAUUUAAAAAUUGCUUUAAUCGUAGGUUCAUUUUAUGAAGGGAUUGAAAGCUAUAAGAAGUUUUAUUAAAUUGGAUAGGCCAAUAUGAUACGUUGGAUAUGGUUUGGGCCUAAUUUUGUCAAGAUCGAUAAAUGGGUUGUAUGCAUUAAAUAAUAAUUCACAUGAUAUCUUUAAGUUGCUAUUUUCUUGCGGGUAUUGAAAUAUAAUAAUGACUGUCCUAGGCCAUCGUCCUUGUUUAGAGGGUUAGUUGACAUUUUAGCUUAUUUUGUUUAAGUUUGUUCCAUAUUCAGUUGUUUCUAUUAUUGGGG
RNAcentral lists this long non-coding RNA (1153 nucleotides) under Nicotiana benthamiana. Its description in RNAcentral is "long non-coding RNA (NBEN_LNC041920)". Lineage: Eukaryota; Viridiplantae; Streptophyta; Magnoliopsida; Solanales; Solanaceae. The record is from RNAcentral.